AGAGAAAGGAAGGCUGAGAUAAGCUGUUUUAUAAGAAAUAGUUAUGCUGAACAGAUCCAAGUUUUGCUGAGGUGAAGCAGAAACAAUAUGGCGAUUAGAAAGAACAGCGAGGUCAAGAUGUUACUGCAUUUUCAACCUGGGUAACUACGAGGUCAAUAUGUGAAUAAGUUAACAAUGUAUUGCUGAAGAAAUUAUGAAUAGAAUGGAGAGG
This 211-nucleotide long non-coding RNA is filed under the name Homo sapiens (human). RNAcentral's name for it is "LHRI_LNC478.1". Lineage: Eukaryota; Metazoa; Chordata; Mammalia; Primates; Hominidae. The record is from RNAcentral.